RNAcentral lists this ribosomal RNA (253 nucleotides) under uncultured bacterium. RNAcentral's name for it is "partial 16S ribosomal RNA". It matches the Rfam family "Bacterial small subunit ribosomal RNA", at positions 524 to 776 of the family's 1533-position model. The record is from RNAcentral.
UACGUAGGGGGCAAGCGUUGUCCGGAAUCAUUGGGCGUAAAGAGCGCGUAGGCGGUCCGGUAAGUCCGCUCUGAAAGUCCGGGGCUCAACCCCGGGAGGCGGGCGGAUACUGUCGGGCUAGAGUCCGGAAGAGGCGAGUGGAAUUCCUGGUGUAGCGGUGAAAUGCGCAGAUAUCAGGAGGAACACCGAUGGCGAAGGCAGCCCCCUGGGUUAACACUGACGCUCAUGCACGAAAGCGUGGGGAGCAAACAGG